Molecule: small nuclear RNA, 104 nt
Organism: Manis pentadactyla (Chinese pangolin)
Lineage: Eukaryota; Metazoa; Chordata; Mammalia; Pholidota; Manidae
Source: RefSeq, a predicted model, not a curated record
GUGAUCACUUGGACAGCACAUAUACUAAAAUUGGAAAGAUACAGAAAUUAGCAUGAACCCUGCAUAGGGAUGACACGUAAAUUCAUGAAGUGUUUCAUAUUUUA